AACAAGGCCGCGCUGAUCGAGAAGGAGCCGACAGGACUUGGUCAGACAGCCCUUCUUACAUAAUCUGUGAAAGCUCACUGAGCCCUUCUAUUGCUAGAAAGCCCCAGAAUGCAUCGCGAUGAGGGCUGCAGACUCUGAAUCUAGCAAAUCGGAACCAUUCAAGGGAAGUGGGGCCCUGAACAUCCCAGCGAAGACCUCUACAGAUCACCUCCCUGCCGAUCUGCCAGCUCCAUCCCUGGAAACGAAGCCCGAUGGCUGGCCCUCA
Molecule: long non-coding RNA, 265 nt
Filed under: Coccomyxa subellipsoidea
Lineage: Eukaryota; Viridiplantae; Chlorophyta; Trebouxiophyceae; Coccomyxaceae
Description: long non-coding RNA (CSUB_LNC000050)
Source: RNAcentral